AAGUCGUAACAAGGUUUCCGUAGGUGAACCUGCGGAAGGAUCAUUAACACGUAUCCAAACGUAAAAAACCCCCCCCGUGAACAUUCAAUCCUGCUCUUGUAACCCGCGUAGUUCGCAAUCUCUGGUAAAUCAUAGCCCGGAAAGUAGUUUUGAUUCAGAGACCUCUGGCUACGUGAGAACAUUGGAACAGUUACAAUCGAGCGGUAGUUUCAUAGGCAUUGUUUCCCCAAGCAGUCAGUGUCUGAAAGUGUCACUGAUUGUGCAAGGAUAGCGCUUCAACGAUUCCUGUAGCCAAAGGGUCCCCAUGCCCCCUUAUAACCCCACAGUUUAAUGUGAAGCUCAAUGUAAUACAUUGGGUAAAAAAACCGAACAACUGUUAACAAUGGAUAUCUUGGUUCUC
This 400-nucleotide unclassified non-coding RNA is filed under the name fungal sp. Its description in RNAcentral is "partial internal transcribed spacer region". The stretch from base 1 to 46 matches the Rfam family "Eukaryotic small subunit ribosomal RNA", at positions 1786 to 1831 of the family's 1831-position model. Lineage: Eukaryota; Fungi. The record is from RNAcentral.